GAGGAGGUUGUUGGGCAGCGUUAUUUGUUUGAUUAAAUUGGUUGUAAUGAACCCCCCUCUUCUCUGUGUGUUUCCUAACGGUUACCGUGCAAAGAUGAAGGUUGUUUCACCUCCUGACCCCAAUACCAGAGAGGAGUUCUUGAAAUAUUCCUGCCAGCUCACAUUGGACCCCAAAACAGCUAAUAGAUAUCUGCGUCUGUCUGAGGGGAACAGGAAGGUGACCAGGAGUGAAAAUGCUGAGUCCUAUCUUCACCAUCCAGACAGAUUUAACUUCUACUGCCAGCUGCUGUGUAAAGAAGCUUUGUCUGGAACCUGCUACUGGGAGGUAGAAAGGAGUGGGAGCAAGUGUAAAGUUGCCGUAUCUUAAAGGGGAUCUGCAGGAGAGGAGAUGGAGUGGAUGUUAGCUUUGGACGAAAUUAUCAGUCCUGGACUUUGGUCUGUGAUCCGUCUAUCUGCUAUUUCAGGCACAAUAAUAUCAAUACUGAUAUCCCUACCCCCUGCUCCUCCAGAGUAGGAGUGUACCUGGACCACAAGGCAGGAACUCUGUCCUUCUACAGUGUCUCUGACAAGAUGACCCUCCUCCACAGAGUCCAGACCACAUUCACUCAGCCCCUCUACCCUGGAUUCUGGGUUGGUCCUGGUUAUGGAUCAUCUGUGAAGAUACUGACACCAAUAUAGUAAAUUAACAAAGUUGUAUCUACACUCAUUGACUUUCAGUGUGUUCAUAAGCAUCGUAAAAUAUUUUUCAGCCUGACACAAUAACAUAAUACCUUUCUGAAAACAGUAAUACAAUCUACAAGUGAGUGCACUAUUCAGAGGAUGCAGUCCAUUUCAAUGAAAGGGAUUUACUCUGUUAGACAUCAGCUUUGCACAAGCUCCAUUGACAAUGAGCUGUUUGCAUUGUUUGUUGAAAUAAAUUCUGUGCAAUCUGAUGUAGCUCAUGGAAUGGAUGUUUCUUUUGUAGUAUAUGUUUUGUUGAGUUGAUGUUUAAAUGGCUUCCGGUCCACAGUUAUGGAGCUUUGACUUGAAGGGUCAUGGCUGUUCUAGUAAAUGUCAUUCAAUCUCAAACUUACAAUAAGAAAGUUCUCUCUCUCUAUCUAUGGUUGUGACAGACCACUUAUAGCCCCUCUGCUGGCCAGACCUGGUAUCUGAUACAUGAGUUCAGAUCCAGGAAGUGAAAUGUUAUAUGGGUUAGUGGGAGCCACUCCUAAGCCUACUCCUCAGCACAAUUGGAAACGAAACUCAUCUCUUCAGCUCAGUCUGCUUGCGUUUCAAAAUGGCAGAAGCCAUGGACUCAAUCAGUUGUUCAAUCUGUUUGGAGAUACUGAAGGAUCCAGUGACUAUUCCCUGUGGACACAGCUACUGUAUGGACUGUAUUAAAUGCUUCUGGGAUCAGAAGCUUGUCUGCAGCUGCCCCCAGUGCAGACAGAUCUUCCCUACAAGGCCUGUUCUGAACAAAAACACUGUCAUUGCAGAAUUGGUGGAAACACUGACAGAAAUAAAUACGAAGAAGAUUCACAAGGUGAGACUUGAGAUGAAGGUUGUUUCACCUCCUGACCCCAAUACCAGAGAGGAGUUCUUGAAAUAUUCCUGCCAGCUCACAUUGGACCCCAACACAGCUAAUAGAUAUCUGCGUCUGUCUGAGGGGAACAGGAAGGUGACCAGGAGUGAAAAUGCUGAGUCCUAUCUUCACCAUCCAGACAGAUUUAACUUCUACUGCCAGCUGCUGUGUAAAGAAGCUUUGUCUGGAACCUGCUACUGGGAGGUAGAAAGGAGUGGGAGCAAGUGUAAAGUUGCCGUGUCUUAUAAAGGGAUCUGCAGGAGAGGAGAUGGAGUGGAUGUUAGCUUUGGACGAAAUUAUCAGUCCUGGACUUUGGUCUGUGAUCCGUCUAUCUGCUAUUUCAGGCACAAUAAUAUCAAUACUGAUAUCCCUACCCCCUGCUCCUCCAGAGUAGGAGUGUACCUGGACCACAAGGCAGGAACUCUGUCCUUCUACAGUGUCUCUGACAAGAUGACCCUCCUCCACAGAGUCCAGACCACAUUCACUCAGCCCCUCUACCCUGGAUUCUGGGUUGGUCCUGGUUAUGGAUCAUCUGUGAAGAUACUGACACCAAUAUAGUAAAUUAACAAAGUUGUAUCUACACUCAUUGACUUUCAGUGUGUUCAUAAGCAUCGUAAAAUAUUUUUCAGCCUGACACAAUAACAUAAUACCUUUCUGAAAACAGUAAUACAAUCUACAAGUGAGUGCACUAUUCAGAGGAUGCAGUCCAUUUCAAUUAAAGGGAUUUACUCUGUUAGACAUCAGCUUUGCACAAGCUCCAUUGACAAUGAGCUGUUUGCAUUGUUUGCUGAAAUAAAUUCUGUGCAAUCUGAUGUAGCUCAUGGAAUGGAUGUUUCUUUUGUAGUAUAUGUUUUGUUGAUGUUUAAAUGGCUUCCGGUCCACAGUUAUGGAGCUUUGACUUGAAGGGUCAUGGCUGUUCUAGUAAAUGUCAGUCAAUCUCAAACUUACAAUAAGAAAGUUCUCUCUCUCUAUGGUUGUGACAGACCACUUAUAGCCCCUCUGCUGGCCAGACCUGGUAUCUGAUACGUGAGUUCAGAUCCAGGAAGUGAAAUGUUAUAUGGGUUAGUGGGAGCCACUCCUAAGCCUACUCCUCAGCACAAUUGGAAACGAAACUCAUCUCUUCAGCUCAGUCUGCUUGCGUUUCAAAAUGGCAGAAGCCAUGGACUCAAUCAGUUGUUCAAUCUGUUUGGAGAUACUGAAGGAUCCAGUGACUAUUCCCUGUGGACACAGCUACUGUAUGGACUGUAUUAAAUGCUUCUGGGAUCAGAAGCUUGUCUGCAGCUGCCCCCAGUGCAGACAGAUGUUCCCUACAAGGCCUGUUCUGAACAAAAACACUGUCAUUGCAGAACUGGUGGAAACACUGACAGAAAUAAAUACGAAGAAGAUUCACAAGGUGAGACUUGAGAUGAAGGUUGUUUCACCUCCUGACCCCAAUACCAGAGAGGAGUUCUUGAAAUAUUCCUGCCAGCUCACAUUGGACCCCAACACAGCUAAUAGAUAUCUGCGUCUGUCUGAGGGGAACAGGAAGGUGACCAGGAGUGAAAAUGCUGAGUCCUAUCUUCACCAUCCAGACAGAUUUAACUUCUACUGCCAGCUGCUGUGUAAAGAAGCUUUGUCUGGAACCUGCUACUGGGAGGUAGAAAGGAGUGGGAGCAAGUGUAAAGUUGCCGUGUCUUAUAAAGGGAUCUGCAGGAGAGGAGAUGGAGUGGAUGUUAGCUUUGGACGAAAUUAUCAGUCCUGGACUUUGGUCUGUGAUCCGUCUAUCUGCUAUUUCAGGCACAAUAAUAUCAAUACUGAUAUCCCUACCCCCUGCUCCUCCAGAGUAGGAGUGUACCUGGACCACAAGGCAGGAACUCUGUCCUUCUACAGUGUCUCUGACAAGAUGACCCUCCUCCACAGAGUCCAGACCACAUUCACUCAGCCCCUCUACCCUGGAUUCUGGGUUGGUCCUGGUUAUGGAUCAUCUGUGAAGAUACUGACACCAAUAUAGUAAAUUAACAAAGUUGUAUCUACACUCAUUGACUUUCAGUGUGUUCAUAAGCAUCGUAAAAUAUUUUUCAGCCUGACACAAUAACAUAAUACCUUUAUGAAAACAGUAAUACAAUCUACAAGUGAGUGCACUAUUCAGAGGAUGCAGUCCAUUUCAAUGAAAGGGAUUUACUCUGUUAGACAUCAGCUUUGCACAAGCUCCAUUGACAAUGAGCUGUUUGCAUUGUUUGGAAAGAAACACAUAUAUUUAUCUACACUUAUUGACUUUCACUGUGUACAUAUACAUCAUGCAAUCUGUUUCAACCUGACAGACUUAACAUUAUUUUAUGAUACAAACUACUGGUGAAUGCCCAACAUGUGCACUACUGCUAGAAUAUGAACUGUCCACAGUCUUUGUCACUGAAAGGGAUUGAUUCUAAUGCUAGGCAUCAGUGUACACAAAUUACUAUACCCUGUUCAAAGGCACUUAAAUAUUGCCCAUUCACCCUCUGAAUGGCACACAUACCCAAUCCAUGUCUCAAGGCUUAAACAUCCUUAUUUAAUCUGUCUCCACCCCUUCAUCUACACUGAUUGAAGUGGAUUUGACAAGUGACACCAAAAAGGGAUCAUUGCUUUCACCUGGAUUCACCUGGUCUAUGCCAUGGAUAAAGCACUUGCGUUUCAAAAUGGCAGAAGCCAUGGACUUGAUCAGUUGUUCAAUAUGUUAGGAGAUACUGAAGGAUCCUGUGACUAUUCCUUCUGGACACAGCUACUGUAUGGACUGUAUUGAAGGCUACUGGGAUCUGGAUGUCCAGAAGCUUGUGUGCAGCUAGCCCUUGAUCAUGACUCUCUGUUGCAUUACAUUACACAUAAAAGUCAUUGGACGGUGCCGUUUUCUGUAAGGGGGAAAAUAUAUUAAGAGCCAUGACGCUCUUUCCGAACAAUAUCAUGCAUCACUUGCGGUACAGUUUUGGAAGCAUAAGGACCUUGUAUUUCACAUCGGCAAGAAAUUAUUUUUUAAAAAACAAAAGGUUAAAUUGAUGCACAAUUUUAUAGGGUUACGAUUCCCACACGGACAACAGACGGAAGACCAACUGGACUACCUGUGCUAAUUAGCUAUAUGCGUCUUUCGAACACCUGUGUAUAAAUGGAAGACGGAGGCCACAAACGUGUUGUCCCAGUCAGCUACAACUGUGUUAAAACCGAUUAAAACAGUAUACAGUGAGUGUGUAUUUUGCAUUUGUGAAUAUAUUUUGUUGUGAUAUGAAAGUGGAUGGAUUUAUGUUUCUAGAACCGUACCACAAUUGAAAAUUCACUUUUAGAUGGCUGUUGAGAUCAACCAGCUGGCAGCAAACACAACUGUCACGACUCCCACCGAAGGUGGCUCCUCUUCCUGUUCGGGCUGCGCUCGGCGGUCGUCGUCACCGGUCUACUAGCUGCCACCGAUCCCUUUUCCCUUUUCUGUUGGUUUUGUCUUAUUGGUUACACCUGUUUCUUGUUUAGGUUUUUAGUUGGGCUAUUUAAGCCGGUAAGGCCCGCCUGUUCUUUGUGCGGGCUUAAUUUUCCUCUGUGUAUGUUUGUGGUGGUGCGUUUCCCUUUGUUUUUCCAAUGGACGGGUUGGGGCCUGGUUUUGGGCCAGUCUCGUAUGUGCACCCAGUAUUGGCGUGACCAUUUUUCUCUGUUACGGAAUAAAACAUUGUUCUUUA
This is a long non-coding RNA of Oncorhynchus tshawytscha (Chinook salmon), 5235 nucleotides long. RefSeq lists it as uncharacterized. The transcript has 6 exons. The record is from RefSeq and is a predicted model, not a curated record. Lineage: Eukaryota; Metazoa; Chordata; Actinopteri; Salmoniformes; Salmonidae.